CGGUCACCUUUGCUCCGCGGUGAUUGGCUUGCAGCGGGGUCCUCGUGUUUGUCCAAUAUGGCGGCGCCCAGUGGCGGUGUGAACUGUGAGGAGUUCGCCGAGUUCCAGGAAUUACUCAAGGUGAUGAGGACAAUUGAUGACAGAAUAGUACAUGAAUUAAACACUACAGUUCCAACAGCUUCCUUUGUAGGGAAAAUUGAUGCCAGCCAAACCUGUAAACAGCUUUAUGAGUCAUUGAUGGCAGCUCAUGCCAGUAGAGACAAAGUCAUAAAAAAUUGUAUAGCCCAGACGUCAGAAGUAGUAAAAAACCUCCGAGAAGAGAGAGAAAAGAAUUUGGACGAUUUAACGUUAUUAAAGCAACUUAGAAAAGAGCAGACAAAGUUUGCUGUGAAGAUUUUGGAAUCAGAGAGAGCUCUUGGAGAUGUUACAGCUCUACCUCUUCAUUUUCUAUCUGAGGAAAAAGACUCAGAGAUACUAACUGACAUCCCCAAAGCCACAAGCUAUUGAAAUGGAUGCAGUCAGAACUGAAUGUUGAAGAAGUGGUAAAUGACAGGAGCUGGAAGGUGUUUAAUGAACGCUGCCGAAUUCACUUCAAGCCUCCAAAGAAUGAAUAAAGAGAGAUACUUUUUUUUUUUUUUUAAAGGACUGGGUCAUCUCAUAAGAGCUAAGCAUGACAGGUAUCAACAGGGCGGGCUUCCUAGGAUGAUUUCUGAGCCAACAGUCCAAGACCUUUUGUUGAUUUCAGCCCCACUUAGCCAAGACCUCAAAUAUAAAUAAUUCUGAUAAUUAUGGAGAAAUCAACUGCUAUUUUAUACUGAUUCUGUAAAAAAAAAAAAGUUUUGUAACUAUUAAAAUAAUUUUCUGACUCAGUGUACAUAUUUAUUUGAUUGUUUUCUAUGUUGAGACAGUUCUCUAUUUAUUUAUUGAAUUUUUAGUUUUUAUUCUUUUUAAUAUCCUUUCUGUCAGGUUGUAACAGUUCUCAUAAGAGAAUUUGCAUGCACUUUCAAUAUCUGAUUUGUAUUGUACUUUUUUAUUUUUACAAAUUUAUUGGCAUGGAUAUGGACCUUUUUGGUCAUUGAUGAGUUUAUCCCUUGAUUUAUCUAUUGUACUUUUUUAUUUUUAUAAAUUUAUUGGCAUGGA
Molecule: RNA transcript, 1140 nt
Organism: Sapajus apella (tufted capuchin)
Lineage: Eukaryota; Metazoa; Chordata; Mammalia; Primates; Cebidae
Gene: MIX23
Gene name: coiled-coil domain containing 58
Exons: 6
Source: RefSeq, a predicted model, not a curated record